AGGGUUGUGGCUCAGUGGUAGAGAGAGCGCUUGCCUAGCAUGCAUGAGGCACUGGGUUCGGUCCCCAGCACCACAU
RNAcentral lists this transfer RNA (76 nucleotides) under Ictidomys tridecemlineatus (thirteen-lined ground squirrel). RNAcentral describes it as "Spermophilus tridecemlineatus (thirteen-lined ground squirrel) tRNA". It matches the Rfam family "tRNA". From Rfam's summary of the family: Transfer RNA (tRNA) molecules are approximately 80 nucleotides in length. Their secondary structure includes four short double-helical elements and three loops (D, anti-codon, and T loops). Further hydrogen bonds mediate the characteristic L-shaped molecular structure. tRNAs have two regions of fundamental functional importance: the anti-codon, which is responsible for specific mRNA codon recognition, and the 3' end, to which the tRNAs corresponding amino acid is attached (by aminoacyl-tRNA synthetases). tRNAs cope with the degeneracy of the genetic code in two manners: having more than one tRNA (with a specific anti-codon) for a particular amino acid; and 'wobble' base-pairing, i.e. permitting non-standard base-pairing at the 3rd anti-codon position. Lineage: Eukaryota; Metazoa; Chordata; Mammalia; Rodentia; Sciuridae. The record is from Rfam by way of RNAcentral.